ACUCAAAGGAAUAGACGGGUGCCCGCACAAGCAGUGGAGUAUGUGGUUUAAUUCGAAGCAACGCGAAGAACCUUACCAGGGCUUGACAUCCUACUAACGAAGCAGAGAUGCAUAAGGUGCCCUUCGGGGAAAGUAGAGACAGGUGGUGCAUGGUUGUCGUCAGCUCGUGUCGUGAGAUGUUGGGUUAAGUCCCGCAACGAGCGCAACCCUUAUUGUUAGUUGCUACGCAAGAGCACUCUAGCAAGACUGCCGUUGACAAAACGGAGGAAGGUGGGGACGAGGUCAAAUCAUCAUGCCCCUUAUGUCCUGGGCUACACACGUACUACAAUGGCGGUCAACAACGGGCAGCGAAGUCGCGAGACGGAGCCAAUCCCCAAAAGCCGCCUCAGUUCAGAUUGCAGGCUGCAAUUCGCCUGCAUGAAGUCGGAAUUGCUAGUAAUCGCAGAUCAGCAUGCUGCGGUGAAUACGUUCCCGGGCAUUGCACACACCGCCCGU
Molecule: ribosomal RNA, 495 nt
Filed under: uncultured bacterium
Lineage: Bacteria
Description: bacterial SSU rRNA
Rfam family: Bacterial small subunit ribosomal RNA
Source: RNAcentral